AAGAGGAGGAUGAUCCCACAUUCCAAACAGAAGUCUCCUGGCCUGGGUCACCCCUUCCAGACCUCAACUCUGUGGGAACAGUGUGGCUGCUGUGUUUUCCUUUCUUGAUUCUGGCUAGGAGAUUAACCUGCUAGAAAGUCUACCACAUUGUUUAAAACUGAAAAAUGCGAAACCCCAUCAUUACUCCAACUUUUUAUUUUGUGCCCUGUGCAAUUUAAAAUUAUUUUUUAAUAUUUAUUUAUUUCUGAGACAGAGAGAGACAGAGCAUGAGUGGGGAAGGGGCAGAGAGAGAAGGAGACAGAGAAUCAGAAGCAGGCUCCAGGCUCUAACGUAUCAGCACAGAGCCCGACGCGGGGCUUGAACUCACAAACCGUGAGAUCAUGACCUGAGCUGAAGUCGGUCCCUCAACCGACUGAGCCACCCAGGCGUCCCUGUGCCCUGUGCAAUUUAGAGUGGUCUUAGACAAAGUCAUUAUCAUCACUCAUCACCUUCCCGUCUUUGUUGGUAAAUGAGUUGUCUGGAAGCCUUCCAGCUAUACCUUAGGUAAAAAUAACCUGAACAUUGUGUCCUUCGAUUGUGUUCAUAUGAGCAGUUUCUGGUUGUGUCCCCAGUCACUGUUAGAGCUGAUACAGUCUCAUGACACAUCCCAGGAGUUUUAUACCAAAACACUUGCUUUAAAGCUGUUAUGUGAAUUUUUACCUUUUUUCUUUCUGUAGGACUUAAUUACUCUGUGUCCUGUAGUAUGCUUCAAGUCAGAAUUCCCUAUGAAUUAAGAUGAACACAUCUGAGCUUUGGAGACAUUCACCACAAGUCACUUGUUCCUCACAGAAGACUUCCUCCAGGCAUCCUCCACUCCCCAGAGGUCUCAGAGGCCUUUGACAACACUUCAAGAGGGAAGACUCCUUUCUCAGGGAGAGGAGCAGAGGAGGCAAAGUGAGGGUCCGGCUGCAGAACUUUUCCCCAGGAGUGGCUGUGAUUCCACGAGCAGAAUAAGAGCCAUUUAUUUGCACUCAAUUUGUUGUGUUCCUAAUAUACCAAAAACAGAGCAUCAGGAGUCACUGCAGAGGAGGGAUGCAGGGUGAACUGGGACAUAGAUGCCUGCCUGUCUGGAGAAUGCUGCUUCAUUACUACGUAAUUACUUCUGUUAACCCUCUAGGACGGGACCCUUGCCAUUUUACUUCCGCAGACAUGGGCAGUGAUGUGUGGUGACAGCAGUUCCUCCUCUUGCAUCUACCACCCCAAGCUGUAGGUGGUAUCCAGUGGCAGGGACAGAGUUUUCAGGUACUGAUGCUACUCUCUUGGAUCCUGGUGGCAGAGAAGGUGACAGGACAGUGUGGAUCCAUGGGGACCUCCUCCGUUAACUGGACGAUUCUGCAUGCCCUACCCUAGAGGUGCCCCACCCCCAUGGACCAUUAGGCACGUCCACCUCCUGAACCUUGGCGGCCCUGAACCCCUCCACCUGCAACACUUGGUGUCUCUCGUGGAGAAGGAUUGGGGCUGUAUGCAGAAAAGCAGGCAUAGCGCUUCAGCAGACAUGCCCUGUACACAUGCCAUGUGCUGGGCCCCGUGAGGCAUGAGGCACAGCCGAACGUGUGUCCAUCUAGUUGCACCCCCAGCCAUCCCUCGUUGUUUGGGCUUUUUGCAGAUCCAGAAGCAGGCGACACUCCCAAGAGUGACAUGAACCCUGGCUCUGCCAAAACUGCCAAGAAGCACAAGGACAACUAUUUUGAAAUUUCAAGAGGACUGUGCACGGUGACAGACGACAGUGAUUAUGUAUCUAUUUUAAGAAGGUGUCAGAUCUGCCUGAAUGCUUUCCCUGCCCAUCCUGUCCCCUCCACUUUGUCCUUCCUACUGUCCCCUAAUACACCUUUCACCAUUCUGUG
Molecule: long non-coding RNA, 1883 nt
Organism: Acinonyx jubatus (cheetah)
Lineage: Eukaryota; Metazoa; Chordata; Mammalia; Carnivora; Felidae
Exons: 5
Source: RefSeq, a predicted model, not a curated record